This 460-nucleotide ribosomal RNA is filed under the name uncultured bacterium. RNAcentral's name for it is "bacterial SSU rRNA". It matches the Rfam family "Bacterial small subunit ribosomal RNA", at positions 340 to 789 of the family's 1533-position model. The record is from RNAcentral.
UACGGGAGGCAGCAGUGGGGAAUAUUGCACAAUGGGCGAAAGCCUGAUGCAGCUAUGCCGCGUGUAUGAAGAAGGCCUUAGGGUUGUAAAGUACUUUCAUCGGGGAGGAAAAAACAAAACUAAUAAUUUUAUUUCUUGACGUUACCCGAAAAAGAAGCACCGGCUAACUCCGUGCCAGCAGCCGCGGUAAUACGGAGGGUGCUAGCGUUAAUCAGAAUUACUGGGCGUAAAGAGCACGUAGGUGGUUUUUUUAAGUCUAGAUGUGAAAUCCCUGGGCUUAACCUAGGAACUGCAUUUUGAAACUGAAAUACUAGAGUAUCGUAGAGGGAGGUAGAAUUCUAGGUGUAGCGGUGAAAUGCGUAGAUAUCUGGAGGAAUACCUGUGGCGAAAGCGGCCUCCUAAACGAAUACUGACACUGAGGUGCGAAAGCGUGGGGAGCAAACAGGGAUUAGAUACCCGU